Colletotrichum lupini is the source of this 98-nucleotide non-coding RNA. The record is from the annotation of a RefSeq genome assembly. Lineage: Eukaryota; Fungi; Ascomycota; Sordariomycetes; Glomerellales; Glomerellaceae.
GGUAGAGUGGCCGAGUGGUUAUGGCGCUGGUUUUAGGCUUACCUAAUCGUUACCUUCACCAGUGGGAAACCGCGCGAGUUCGAAUCUCGUCUCUAUCA